GGAAGGGCUGUGGUUCAGUGGCAGAGCACCUGCUCGGCAUGCAGGAGAUGCCAGGUUCGAUCCCUGGUGCCUCCA
This 75-nucleotide transfer RNA is filed under the name Sphaerodactylus townsendi. Its description in RNAcentral is "tRNA-Ala". It matches the Rfam family "tRNA". Rfam says of the family: Transfer RNA (tRNA) molecules are approximately 80 nucleotides in length. Their secondary structure includes four short double-helical elements and three loops (D, anti-codon, and T loops). Lineage: Eukaryota; Metazoa; Chordata; Lepidosauria; Squamata; Sphaerodactylidae. The record is from RNAcentral.